Molecule: ribosomal RNA, 498 nt
Filed under: uncultured bacterium
Lineage: Bacteria
Description: partial 16S ribosomal RNA
Rfam family: Bacterial small subunit ribosomal RNA
Source: RNAcentral
AUUGAACGCUGGCGGCAUGCCUUACACAUGCAAGUCGAACGGUAACAGGUCUUCGGAUGCUGACGAGUGGCGAACGGGUGAGUAAUGCAUCGGAACGUGCCUAGUAGUGGGGGAUAACUACUCGAAAGAGUGGCUAAUACCGCAUGAGAUCUACGGAUGAAAGCAGGGGAUCGCAAGACCUUGUGCUACUAGAGCGGCCGAUGGCAGAUUAGGUAGUUGGUGGGAUAAAAGCUUACCAAGCCGACGAUCUGUAGCUGGUCUGAGAGGACGAUCAGCCACACUGGGACUGAGACACGGCCCAGACUCCUACGGGAGGCAGCAGUGGGGAAUUUUGGACAAUGGGCGAAAGCCUGAUCCAGCAAUGCCGCGUGCAGGAUGAAGGCCUUCGGGUUGUAAACUGCUUUUGUACGGAACGAAAAGCCCCGGGUUAAUACCCUGGGGUCAUGACGGUACCGUAAGAAAAAGCACCGGCUAACUACGUGCCAGCCGCCGCGGUAA